UUAAUAAAUUUUGCGCUUUGCCAUUGUUGAAAUUUCCCAACACGCAAAUACAGUUCAGGUAACAAUCUCUUUUCCAAGUUCAAAUUUGAGUCGUAUCAUGUAUGCGUGAUUAUUGCUCUGUUUCAGCUUCUCAUUGGUUGUAUCAUGCAUUUUUGAUUGUGUGUUGUAUUUUCUGCUUUCUCUUUCAUCCCUUCAUUGUGAUAGGAUUGCGAUAGACUCUUGGUUUUCUUCUUAUUUUGAAUGUUUUGGUUCAUAAAGAUUUAUAAUUUCCUGAAUCGAAUGAAUUUUAUUAGAAGCUCACAAAUUUGACAAUUACUCCUAUGUCUUGGUCCAAAAAUGGAUACUUGAAGUUCAUGAAAUUGGUAUCUACUUAUGUGAAUGUUUAUGAUAAACAUGAAUAACAAAAUUGGUUAUCUCGAUUCUCUGCUCCAAUGAAAUGUGAUAUACAUUUAUUGGCGUAAAACCAUCCACUUCCAUGGCAUCGAUUCAAUACAGCAAUAAGCAGAAGAAGAAAUUGGAAAGAAGAGAUGUCAAGAAGAAUAGCAAAGAGAAACAAGACUUCUCAGAUAUUUCGGAGAUCCCUAAGAAGCUUUGAUCUUUGUCUAAAGAUGAGGUGGAACAAUCUGGACUCUUCAUCACAAAUGAGAAGGAUUGAAUUUUGUCCAUCUGAUUUAGUAACACCUGUACAUACUCAUCCCAUUCUAGAAAAACUUUGCUCACGUGAUUAGCACGUUGAGGAAUAUAAGUUUGUUAGAUUAGUUAUAGAGUAGACAACUAAAGAAAGGACAUGUGGAUAUUGAGUUUUCUUUUAUCAUUAGCUUUAUUCUGUGUAAUACUUGUAUAUAUACAGGUUUGGAGAUGAAUGAAAUUAUCAGAAAAUUUCCCAAAGUAUUUUUCUUUUCAUUCUUUCAUGGUAUCAGAGCAAUAGCUCGAUCAAAUCUCUUUUCUCACAAAUUUACAUUAUUCAUCACUGAUCUAUAAUACAAAAUGGAUCAAGAGAAAGAUGAAACUCAGGUGUUGAACACAUCGACUGCCUCAAAGACCACCACGAUCGACAUCAAUCAUUCAUAUCAUCUACACUCUUCAGAUUCGCCGGGAAUGAAUAUCAUCAGCUAUACCUUUGACGGGAAGGGAUUCCCAGGAUGGAGGAGGGCAGUGUUGAUAGCACUCUCAGCCAAGAAGAAGCUUGGCUUCAUCAAUGGAGGAUGCAAAGCUCCAGGUCUCGAUACAGCAGAGUAUGAACAAUGGAGCUGUUGCAAUGAUAUGGUGAUCUCAUGGUUGCUGAAUUCACUUUCCAGGGAAAUUGGAGACAGCGUAAUCUACUCCAAGACUGCCAAGGAGAUCUGGGAUAGCCUGGAAAACAGAUUCGGAAGAUGCAAUGGAGCAAAGAUGUAUCACCUGCAAAAGGAGGUAUCAAGCUUAGUACAAGGUACAAGUGAUAUAGCAAAUUACUUCACUAAACUUAAGAGGCUAUGGGAUGAAUUGGAUUCCCUUAAUGUUAUUAUAUCUUGUACUUGUGUGUGUGUAUGUGAAGGUAAGGGAAAGUUGGUUAAAUCACUGCAAGAUCAGAAACUAAUGCAGUUUCUGAUGGGGUUAAACGACGUCUACGCUCAUGCAAGAGGGAACAUCCUGAUGAUGAGCCCUUUGCCAAGCAUUGAUGUUGCAUACUCCCUUUUGUUGCAAGAUGAGAACCAACGAGAGGUUUAUGUUAAUGCAAACCCCUUAACCAACUCAGCAGCUUUUAUGGCAACAACACAAAGCAAGUGGAAUCACAGAAAUGGUAACCAAAUGAUGAGAGGAAACACUCAAUCACAGAAGUAUGAUAAUGGGGAACAAAGGAACGCAAAAUCAGUCCAAAGGUUCAGGUCUAGGAAGACUAAGUACAAUCCUAAUGUUACAUGCACUUACUGUGGAAAAACAGGACAUGUACAUGAUAACUGCUACAGGCUCAUUGGAUACCCUGAUGAUUUUGAAUUUACUAAGACAAGAGAAACUCAGGGAACAAUGAAGGCAAAUGCAGUCACAACUGAAGAAAAAUCUGAAGCAUUCCAGAACACACAAGAGGAUACAGCCUACAACAAUUACAACCAGUACAUGAGCAAAGAACAAUACACAAAUCUGGUGCAGCAGGUUACAAAAGAUGUCCUGAAGGAGAGUAGGACAACACCAACCACUGGUUUUAAUGGAAAUGUCAUUGCUGGUACCAUUCUGAGGAACUCCAGCUCAUGUUUAUCACUUAUUAAUUCUUGUACAUGGAUUAUUAAUUCCGGUGCUUCAGAACAUAUGUGUUUUGAUCCCAAUUCUUUUCUAUCACUCACUCCCCUUCCUGUGCCUUUAACUCUCACUUUGCCUAACUCUUUCAGGAUCAUUGUGACUCAUACAGGAAGUGUCUCUGUUCUUCCAAAUUUGACUCUGAAAAAUGUCCUAUAUGUACCUGUUUUCAAGCAUAAUCUGAUAUCUGUACACAGGUUAUCAAGUCAAAUUAAAUAUGAUGUGUUAUUUACUCUUAGUGGUUGUGUGUUACAUGACCCUUUAAUGAAGAACAUUCAAGUUUUUGGUGAUGUGAAUGAGGGAUUGUACCUGUUGAAGUCUUCUAGUAUUAGGUCUCAGUUUGUUUCUAAUGCUAAUGUAGUUUCAAUUCCACAAGGAAAUAGUUCCAUUCCUAGUUCAGGAUCAGUUCCUUUUUCUUUUUCUGCAAAUGUAGUCCCUUCUGUUGAUCUUUGGCAUGUAAGGUUAGGGCAUCUGCCCUUUUCUGCAAUGAGAAAAUACAGUUUCAUUCAUUUCCCUUCUAAAUUUGAACAUGUUUGUGAUAUUUGUCCUAAAGCUAGGCAGACUAGACUCACUUUUCCAUUAAGUGCUAUUCAUUCUACCAAGCUAUUUGAACUGAUCCACAUUGAUACUUGGGGACCAUACAAAUCACCCACUUACAAUGGUUUUCGAUACUUUCUUACUAUAGUUGAUGAUUAUAGUAGAGGUACUUGGACUUUCUUGUUAAGCUCUAAGAGUAAUGCUUUUCCUACUCUCAAGGAGUUUCUAGCUAUGAUAGAGAGACAAUUUCAUGCCCAAGUCAAGUGCAUUAGGUCUGACAAUGCACUAGAAUUGGGAACAGGUAUUCAGAAGGCUUCUUUUCUUAAGUUUCAAGGGAUUUUGCACCAAACUUCAUGUGUUGGAACUCCACAACAAAAUGGUGUUGUGGAGAGAAAACAUAGACAUUUAUUGGAAUUAGGGAGGGGACUGAUGUUUCAGUCUCACUUACCUAUUGAUUAUUGGGGAGAUUGCAUAUUAACAACUACAUAUUUGAUUAAUAGGUUGCCAUCCAAGGUACUACAUGGAAGAACACCAUAUGAAGUUUUUUUUGGUAAGCAGCUUAACUACGAAUUUUUGAGAAGCUUUGGAUGUCUCUGCAAUGCUUCAACUCAUUCUCAAAACAGAGAAAAGUUUGAACCAAGGGCAACAACUUGUGUCUUCCUAGGUUAUCCACAAGGUAAAAAGGGCUACAAGUUGUUAGAGCUCAACACUAAGAAAGUCUUUGUUUCCAGGGAUGUUCACUUCCAUGAGCAGUAAUUUCCUUUUGCCUCUAACAAAUCAUAUCACUCUCUUCCUCCAAUUUUCUCAUAUCAUAAUUCUACUCUGGAUACCCCAGAAUCUGUCUCUUGUCCUUCACCUUCUCCACAAGCUCUUGCACCUCCUGAUAUUACAUCCCCAGAUAUUGCGACACCUUCUCCCAUCAGUCCGAGUGUCAGCAGUCCGACCUCUUCUUCCCUUUCGUCUUCUUCUUCUUCUCCUCUCAUCACUGAAGGGAGAACUCAAAGAGUAAGACAUAAGCCAAGUUAUCUAGAGGACUACUAUUGCAAUAACAUCCAACUGACUGAUGUUACCACUGCAUGUUUUGUCCACCCUAGUACGCCCACUGCUUUCUCUUUUACUUCUUUGUCCCUUCCAAAUCAGCAUAUGUUUAACUCUAUUUCUGAUGUAGUUGAGCCUAAGAGUUUUGCCCAUGCUUCUCAACAUGCUGGCUGGAAAGCAGCAAUGGAUGCUGAAUUAGAGGCUCUUGCACUGAAUCACACUUGGGACAUUCUACAAUUACCACCAAGAAAGAAAGCUUUGCCUUGUAAAUGGGUUUACAAGGUAAAACACAGGUCAGAUGGGUCUGUUGAGAGAUUGAAGGCUCGCUUAGUAGUGAGGGGGGAUGUUCAACAAGAGGGUGUUGAUUUUUCAGAAACCUUCUCUCCGGUGGUCAAAAUGACCACUAUCCGGUGUCUACUCACAGUGGCUAUCAAGAAAGCAUGGCAGGUACAUCAAUUGGAUGUUAGCAAUGCGUUUCUUCAUGGUGACUUACAGGAAGAGGUAUACAUGAAGUGUCCUGCAGGUUUACCCUCUAUCAAGCCCAACCAAGUUUGUCUCCUCAGAAAGUCUUUGUAUGGGUUGCGCUAGGCAUCUCGACAAUGGUAUUCUAAGUUAGCUGGAGCUCUUGGUUUCAAAGGGUAUACUAGUUCCAUGAACGAUUACUCACUAUUCUUUAAGGCAUCUGGUUCUCUCACCUCCAUCAUCGCUGUCUAUGUUGAUGACAUCCUAAUUACAGGGGAUGACAUCUCAGAAAUUAAUCACAUCAUGCAAUUUCUUCAUACAGAAUUCAGAGUCAAGAAUCUAGGCGACAUUCACUAUUUUUUAGGAUUGGAAAUCCUACGAGAAAAAUAGGGAUUCAUCAUUAAUCAACGCAAGUUUACCUUGGAGUUGCUUGCUGAUUUCGAUUGUUCUGGUGUCGUUGUAUCUUCGCCGCUUGAUCCAUACUCUAAACUUCAUGUCGAUGACAGUCCACCCGUGACUAAUCCAACACUUUAUCGACAUUUGGUUGGGAAGCUCAAUUAUUUAACCCACACUAGGCCUGAUUUGUCCUUUGCUGUGUUGACACUCAGUCAACACAUGCAACAUCCCUCUGAAUCUCAUUAUCUUGCUGCUCUUCGAGUUUUGCGAUACCUACGCAAUGAUCCAAGUCAAGGUAUUUUGCUCUCCUCCGAUUCAACCUUUACUCUCUUAGCUUUCUGCGACGCCGACUGGGCCUCUUGUCGUGAAACUCGAAGAUCUGUCAGUGGUUACUUCAUCACUUUUGGUGGUGCUCCCAUUUCUUGGAAAUCCAAGAAACAAGCAUCCAUCUCCCUUUCAUCCGCCGAAACAAAGUACCGGUCUAUGCGACGUGUGACUGCUGAAAUUACUUGGUUGGUGCGUGUUCUUGCUGAUCUCUCUGUUCCUCCAGUACUCCCUAUCACAGUGAACUCCGACAGUCAAGCUGCCAUUAGCAUAGCCAAAAACCCAGUCUUUCACGAAAGAACGAAACACGUUGAGUUAGACUGCCACUUUGUGCGACAACAGUUCAUCGCUGGUCUGAUUACGCUUUCUUUCGUUCCAUCGAAGCAUCAGUUGGCUGAUUUGUUCACCAAACCGUUGUCUGGGGUUCCCCAUCGCCAUUUGUUGAACAAGUUGGGGGUCAUUUCUUCACCCUCCAACUUGAGGGGGGAUAUUGGCGUAAAACCAUCCACUUCCAUGGCAUCGAUUCAAUACAGCAAUAAGCAGAAGAAGAAAUUGGAAAGAAGAGAUGUCAAGAAGAAUAGCAAAGAGAAACAAGACUUCUCAGAUAUUUCGGAGAUCCCUAAGAAGCUUUGAUCUUUGUCUAGAGAUGAGGUGGAACAAUCUGGACUCUUCAUCACAAAUGAGAAGGAUUGAAUUUUGUCCAUCUGAUUUAGUAACACCUGUACAUACUCAUCCCAUUCUAGAAAAACUUUGCUCACGUGAUUAGCACGUUGAGGAAUAUAAGUUUGUUAGAUUAGUUAUAGAGUAGACAACUAAAGAAAGGACAUGUGGAUAUUGAGUUUUCUUUUAUCAUUAGCUUUAUUCUGUGUAAUACUUGUAUAUAUACAGGUUUGGAGAUGAAUGAAAUUAUCAGAAAAUUUCCCAAAGUAUUUUUCUUUUCAUUCUUUCAACAUUAAUAACAAAAUUGGUUAUCUCAAUUCUCGCUUUGGUGAUUCACAUAUGUGCGCUACGAACACCACUUGGUUAGUUGGUUUAAUCGUCGUAGAAAUAUUUUUCUUUUUGGGGUUUUAACUAUAACUUCGAGAAGCAUAUUAAAGGAGCUUUAGCAGUUCCCAUGGAGAAGACAGUGAAAUUUCAAAACUUAGUGACCUGUUCUAUUCUGUAAAGGUCUACCUGAAGGUAAAUGUUUCUUACUUCUUAGUAUUAAACUGAGUUGUAUUUGUCGUUCUAGAUCAUUAGGCUUUCUGAACUUUCGUGUUACUAUUGAGAAAUGAUAUAUUGUUUUAUCAAGAAUAGGUUGUUGUUGAUUAUUAUAUAUAUAUAAUCUUAUGUAAAAAUAUACGGUAAAAGAUGAAGAAAACGAAGAAUAAAAAGUUCUAGGUGAUGAGAAACAUGUCAUUAGAAGUAAAGUACAAGAAAUUAAAUGCACUAUCUAUAUCUAUCACAUUGAUCUAGAAGGACAAACAACAUCUUCUGCCUAUGAUGAACUACUUUCUACAUCUCAAAAGCAUUCAAUUAUAAUCUUCUUUGAUUGUUUGUAGAUACAAAUGCAGAUGACAAUUCAACUAGCUUUUUAUCAGUUUCACCACUUUCCUCUCUCCAAUUUGGAAGAUGGAUAGUGUGAGAUCUCAGCCAUCUUGUAGCAGGUGAAUCAAAGCCAUUAAUUAAUAUGCUUUGACAUAGGUAUUGCAGUGAAUUGUUGUUAUAAUUAAAUAACCCCCACAACAGUAGCCAAUUAUUUAUGCCUCUUGCUCCCUGACCUGCUUAAGCUUUUUUUUCCUUUAUGUCGUCUCAUUUGCAGUACAUGGACAACAAGAAUUAUUGGCAGGUUUUGAAAUUUGCAUUGAUUACUUUGCAUAAUUUUUCAGCUCAUUUCAAUAACACCUAAACUCAGAAUUAAUUAAUAACAUGAUUUUCUAUAUGUGCUUGAGCGAGUUUAUAGAGAAAAUGUAAUUGUUGUGAAUUAAUUUUUUUCUGCUGAAAAUUGUACUAUCCACUUUUAGGGAAUAAUGAUACCACCAGUUGACUUAUAUACGUGGCUAAAUUAUUUUUCUAGCUUUUCAUCCAUUUUGAUAAAAGUUGUCAUUUUUUU
This 7120-nucleotide long non-coding RNA is filed under the name Solanum tuberosum (potato). RNAcentral describes it as "long non-coding RNA (STUB_LNC008553)". Lineage: Eukaryota; Viridiplantae; Streptophyta; Magnoliopsida; Solanales; Solanaceae. The record is from RNAcentral.